This 1476-nucleotide ribosomal RNA is filed under the name Triticum aestivum (bread wheat). RNAcentral's name for it is "partial small subunit ribosomal RNA". The record is from RNAcentral. Lineage: Eukaryota; Viridiplantae; Streptophyta; Magnoliopsida; Poales; Poaceae.
AUGCUUGCUAAACAAGCAUGGCGACUGCUUCAGAAUCCAGGGAACAGCAUAAUCGAAGCGACUCCAAAAAAGGGAAUUUCGUAUUCAUGGCGUAGUAUUUUGAAAGGCGUGCAACUGCUGAAAAGAGGUAUAAUUUGGAGAGUCGGAAAUGGGCAAAACAUCAAAAUCUGGACGGAUCCCUGGCUCCCAAGAGGAACUACAAGAAGGGUCACCUCAUUUUGUGGGAGACAAGUGAUUUCGAAGGUUGCGGAUCUUAUAGACCCACAAAUAAAUAGUUGGGAUGCUAACCUUGUGCACCAAACUUUCAAUGCAGAGGAUUCAAAGAUAAUCCUGCAGAUCCCCAUUCAUGAUCAUUUUGAUGACUCCAUUGCAUGGCACUUUGACAAGAAGGGAAUCUUCUCGGUGAAAUCAGCCUAUAAGGUUGCAGUGGACAAUGCAGAACGGGAAUCAAGCCAUGGGCAAACGUCAACUUCAAGAAGUAAUGGAGAGGCGACUGAUUUCGAAUGGAAGAAAAUAUGGGCUUUACCUCUCCCAAAUAAGGUCCUCCACUUCAUUUGGCGUAUGGCAACAUAUAGUCUACCACUGCGAAUGAAGUUGAAAAAUAGGGGAAUGGAUAUUGACACUAGGUGCCCAGUGUGCUUCAGAUAUGAUGAGGAUGGUUGUCAUUGUUUCCUCAAAUGCAAAAAGGUGAAACAAUUGUGGCACGCAUCACAGAUGGAAGAUAUUAGAAGCAAGUUAGUGCUAUGCAAUGAUCCUCUCAGCUUGUUUGAGGAGGUAUUUCAUCUGUCAGAGGAAGAGAGCAUAAAGGUGUGUGUCCUGUUCUGGCAAUGGUGGCAUGAAAGAAAUAAAGCUAACGUGGGCGACAUGAUGAAAACCAUUGAUGAAAUUGUUGCCUCUAUUUAUUAUCAUGUCAAUAGUUUCAGGAAUCUCAAGAUACGAAGGAGUGCCCAGAAACAGACCGCCACGCCAAAAUGGUCUCCUCCACCAAGUACAUUCCUUAAAAUAAAUUUUGAUGGUGCGUUUCAUGAAGCAUCAAACUCUGGAGGUUGGGGUUUUACUCUGACAAAUGAUGAAGGCACACUUUUGGCUGCAGGAGCAGGAAACCUGGAACUUGUAUCCAGUCCACUCCAUGCCGAAGCUUUAGCCAUGCUAUAUGCAAUCCAUGCCACGGCAAGGAUGGGAGGUAACCAAGUCAUCUUUGAAACUGAUUCCAUGGUGCUGAAACAGGCGGCAACAAGCGAAGAGUAUGAUAAAUCUACUUUAGGAUCUUUGUUCCAGGAGAUAAAAUUUCAGUUGAAUGUUGCUUUUGAUGUUGCUAAACUGAAUGUAUGUCCUAGAAUCUGUAACAAUGCAGCACACUCUUUAGCAGCGUAUGGUCAUGGUCUAGGGAGUGGCAGAUGUGAGACCUGGUUGGGCCACUUCCCUGAGUUUGUACAAAACUCUGUAACUGGUGACUUAGCCAGAUUGUCUUUGUAA